This is an RNA transcript of Sapajus apella (tufted capuchin), 592 nucleotides long. It is a transcript of the gene named alpha-enolase pseudogene, with no coding region annotated. The transcript has a single exon. The record is from RefSeq and is a predicted model, not a curated record. Lineage: Eukaryota; Metazoa; Chordata; Mammalia; Primates; Cebidae.
GGGCCUGGAGCACGCAGACCUCUCCGGCUUAACGCUCAUCUCGGUGUUUGCGGCACUCUCCACUUCUCUCCCAGGCGACGAGACCUAACGGUUAGAAAUCCACCAUGUCUAUUCUCAAGAUCCAUUCUACGGAGAUCUUUGACUCUCGUGGGAAUCCCACUGUUGAGUUUGAUCUCUUUACCGCAAACGGUCUAUUCAGAGCUGCUGUGCCCAGUGGUGCUUCAACUGGUAUCUAUGAGGCCCUAGAGCUCCGGGACAAUGAUAAGACUCGCUAUAUGGGGAAGGGUGUCUCAAAGGCUGUUGAGCACAUCAAUAAAACUAUUGUGCCUGCCCUGGUUAGCAAGAAACUGAAUGUCACAGAACAAGAGAAGAUUGACAAACUGAUGAUCGAGAUGGAUGGAACAGAAAAUAAAUCUAAGUUUGGUGCGAAUGCCAUUCUGGGUGUAUCCCUCGCCAUCUGCAAAGCCGGUGCUGUUGAGAAGGGGGUCCCUCUGUAUCACCACAUCGCCGACUAGGCUGGAAACUCCAAAGUCAUCCUGCCAGUGCUGGCAUUCAAUGUCAUCAAUGGUGGUUCCCAUGCUGGUAACAAGCU